AUAGAUAUUACGAAGAACAUCAGUGGCGAAGGCGGCCUGCUGGUCUACAACUGACGCUGAGGCACGAAAGCGUGGGGAUCAAACAGGAUUAGAUACCCUGGUAGUCCACGCUGUAAACUAUGAUUACUCGGUGUCGGCGAUAUACUGUCGGUGCCUAAGCGAAAGUGAUAAGUAAUCCACCUGGGGAGUACGAUCGCAAGGUUGAAACUCAAAGGAAUUGACGGGGGCCCGCACAAGCGG
RNAcentral lists this ribosomal RNA (240 nucleotides) under Pseudo-nitzschia fraudulenta. RNAcentral describes it as "partial Bacterial small subunit ribosomal RNA". It matches the Rfam family "Bacterial small subunit ribosomal RNA", at positions 690 to 932 of the family's 1533-position model. The record is from RNAcentral. Lineage: Eukaryota; Bacillariophyta; Bacillariophyceae; Bacillariales; Bacillariaceae.